Molecule: long non-coding RNA, 400 nt
Organism: Prinia subflava (tawny-flanked prinia)
Lineage: Eukaryota; Metazoa; Chordata; Aves; Passeriformes; Cisticolidae
Exons: 3
Source: RefSeq, a predicted model, not a curated record
CAAACACGACCACAGAACACAGUGUGGAAUUUGAACUGGUGAUGUGAGAGUGUUCCUGCGAGCAAGAGCUGCAGCAGGGCAAACAGCAGUGCCAUGGGUUGGCAUGGCUCUAAUGAUUCUGUAAAAUGUCUGAGAGGUAGACAAAUAUCAAAAAUCAAUGACUGAAUAUCAGAUGAAGCAUCACUGGAGGGAAGACAGGUUGAAUUGAUAUGGAUGUCAUGCAUGAGAAAGACAUUACAGAAUAACAAAGGUGUCCUACUGCUUUUAGCAAGUGAGAACUGUACACCAGCGGGAUACCACUGUCUCCUUGCCCUUGACUUUUCAAUAUGAGAAGUCUCUUGAAUGGUUCACUGACACUUCCAUGUCGUGGCUGCUUCUAAGGCAUCUGAUUCUUUAAGCA